This 97-nucleotide ribosomal RNA is filed under the name uncultured bacterium. RNAcentral describes it as "partial 16S ribosomal RNA". It matches the Rfam family "Bacterial small subunit ribosomal RNA", at positions 356 to 452 of the family's 1533-position model. The record is from RNAcentral.
GGGGAAUAUUGGACAAUGGGGGCAAGCCUGAUCCAGCAAUGCCGCGUGUGUGAAGAAGGCCUUCGGGUUGUAAAGCACUUUCAAUAGGGAGGAAAAG